AUUGAACGCUGGCGGAAUGCUUUACACAUGCAAGUCGAACGGUAGAGGGGGCAACCCCUCGAGAGUGGCGAACGGGUGAGUAAUAUAUCGGAACGUGCCCAGUCGUGGGGGAUAACGUAGCGAAAGUUACGCUAAUACCGCAUACGAUCUAAGGAUGAAAGCGGGGGAUCGCAAGACCUCGCGCGAUUGGAGCGGCCGAUAUCAGAUUAGGUAGUUGGUGGGGUAAAGGCUCACCAAGCCAACGAUCUGUAGCUGGUCUGAGAGGACGACCAGCCACACUGGAACUGAGACACGGUCCAGACUCCUACGGGAGGCAGCAGUGGGGAAUUUUGGACAAUGGACGCAAGUCUGAUCCAGCCAUUCCGCGUGCAGGAUGAAGGCCCUCGGGUUGCAAACUGCUUUUGUACGGAACGAAAAGGUCUCUCUUAAUACGGGGGACUCAUGACUGUACCGUAAGAAUAAGCACCGGCUAACUACGUGCCAGCCGCCGCGGUAA
This 496-nucleotide ribosomal RNA is filed under the name uncultured bacterium. Its description in RNAcentral is "partial 16S ribosomal RNA". It matches the Rfam family "Bacterial small subunit ribosomal RNA", at positions 30 to 523 of the family's 1533-position model. The record is from RNAcentral.